AUACAUGUAUACAGGGUCUCCGUGCAAGUAUGGAUUUAAUGAAGGGGCUGACGAAGGGACUUGUCGGUUUCCCAAAGUUGGUGGAAAACAGUACCUGAGUUAACUCAUUCAUUCCAUCCAUACUUGUACGGGUAUCCUGUAUACCUGACG
RNAcentral lists this microRNA precursor (150 nucleotides) under Plutella xylostella (diamondback moth). Its description in RNAcentral is "microRNA pxy-mir-8504 precursor". Lineage: Eukaryota; Metazoa; Arthropoda; Insecta; Lepidoptera; Plutellidae. The record is from miRBase by way of RNAcentral.